Molecule: ribosomal RNA, 505 nt
Filed under: uncultured bacterium
Lineage: Bacteria
Description: partial 16S ribosomal RNA
Rfam family: Bacterial small subunit ribosomal RNA
Source: RNAcentral
GACGAACGCUGGCGGCGUGCCUAAUACAUGCAAGUAGAACGCACAGUUUAUACCGUAGCUUGCUACACCAUAGACUGUGAGUUGCGAACGGGUGAGUAACGCGUAGGUAACCUGCCUGGUAGCGGGGGAUAACUAUUGGAAACGAUAGCUAAUACCGCAUAAUAUUAAUUAUUGCAUGAUAAUUAAUUGAAAGGUGCAAUUGUACCACUACCAGAUGGACCUGCGUUGUAUUAGCUAGUAGGUGAGGUAACGGCUCACCUAGGCGACGAUACAUAGCCGACCUGAGAGGGUGAUCGGCCACACUGGGACUGAGACACGGCCCAGACUCCUACGGGGGGCAGCAGUAGGGAAUCUUCGGCAAUGGACGAAAGUCUGACCGAGCAACGCCGCGUGAGUGAAGAAGGUUUUCGGAUCGUAAAGCUCUGUUGUAAGGGAAGAACGGGUGUGGGAGUGGAAAGUUCACACUGUGACGGUAUCUUACCAGAAAGGGACGGCUAACUACGUG